GACGAACGCUGGCGGCGUGCUUAACACAUGCAAGUCGAACGGAAAGGCCUCUUUCGGGUGGUACUCGAGUGGCGAACGGGUGAGUAACACGUGAGUAACCUGCCCUUGACUUUGGGAUAACUUCAGGAAACUGGGGCUAAUACCGGAUAGGAGCUCCUGCUGCAUGGUGGGGGUUGGAAAGUUUCGGCGGUUGGGGAUGGACUCGCGGCGUAUCAGCUUGUUGGUGGGGUAGUGGCUUACCAAGGCUUUGACGGGUAGCCGGCCUGAGAGGGUGACCGGCCAAAUUGGGACUGAGAUACGGCCCAGACUCCUACGGGAGGCAGCAGUGGGGAAGAUUGAACAAGGGGUGGAAGCCUGAUGCAGCAACGCCGUGUGCGGGAGGACGGCCUUCGGGUUGGAAACCGCUUUCGCUCAUGACGAAGCUUUGUGUGACGGUAGUGGGUAAAGAAGCACCGGCUAACUACGUG
RNAcentral lists this ribosomal RNA (467 nucleotides) under uncultured bacterium. RNAcentral describes it as "partial 16S ribosomal RNA". It matches the Rfam family "Bacterial small subunit ribosomal RNA", at positions 28 to 507 of the family's 1533-position model. The record is from RNAcentral.